GACGAACGCUGGCGGCGUGCUUAACACAUGCAAGUCGAACGGAAAGGCCCUGCUUUUGUGGGGUGCUCGAGAGGCGAACGGGUGAGUAACACGUGAGUAACCUGCCCUUGACUUUGGGAUAACUUCAGGAAACUGGGGCUAAUACCGGAUAGGAGCUCCUGCUGCAUGGUGGGGGUUGGAAAGUUUCGGCGGUUGGGGAUGGACUCGCGGCUUAUCAGCUUGUUGGUGGGGUAGUGGCUUACCAAGGCUUUGACGGGUAGCCGGCCUGAGAGGGUGACCGGCCACAUUGGGACUGAGAUACGGCCCAGAAUCCUACGGGAGGCAGCAGUGGGGAAUAUUGCACAAUGGGCGGAAGCCUGAUGCAGCAACGCCGCGUGCGGGAUGACGGCCUUCGGGUUGUAAACCGCUUUCGCCUGUGACGAAGCGUGAGUGACGGUAAUGGGUAAAGAAGCGCCGGCUAACUACGUG
Molecule: ribosomal RNA, 468 nt
Filed under: uncultured bacterium
Lineage: Bacteria
Description: partial 16S ribosomal RNA
Rfam family: Bacterial small subunit ribosomal RNA
Source: RNAcentral